CCCGCUGAACUUAAGCAUAUCAGUAAGCGGAGGAAAAGAAACUAACGAGGAUCCCUUUAGUAGCGGCGAGCGAACAAGGAACAGCCUAACGUGAUCCGUGCGCACUCGUGGCGUGCGGGAUGAACGAUAUGGGUGCGCUGUUCUGCGCUCGUUGCCUUCCCUAAGUCCACUUGAAGAUGGCUCUUGAAAGGGUGAAAGACCCGUAAGGGAGGUGACUUGUGUGGAGUGGUGUGCCUUGGAGUAGGGUUGCUUGAAAGUGCAGCCCAAAGAGGGUGGUAAACCUCAUCUAAGGCUAAAUAUGGCCACGAAUCCGAUAGCAAACAAGUACCGUGAGGGAAAGUUGCAAAGUACUUUGAAGAGAGAGUUCAAUAGAACGUGAAACCGUUGCAAAGGAAGCAAAUGAAACCUAAGGCGAGCUGUGCCAGCCCGUCCGUCGGCGCGCCGGUGUGCGCUCAAUGCUGUCGUGCGCAAGCGCGGCGGCUAGGGUGUGCGCCGGUGUGCCGUAGGAUUUACUUGGUGUGGUUAGCUGCUCGGGGCUGCGCUCGUGAUGCUGAAUCCCGCCGACGGGCGCCACACUUCGGUGUGUGCGCUGUCGCGGUGCUAGGCGUGUGCAAGUGCGGCUUGAGUCGGGUCUGUUCCCCAGUCUCUUGCCUUUCCGCUCGCGCGGCGCGCUCGACUCGUCGAGUGUGUCCCGGGCGGGUCGGGAAUGGGCUGGGUGCUAACCGGCGUUCGGGCAGUGCUGAAGGUGGAUCAUUUGACCCGUCUUGAAACACGG
This 775-nucleotide ribosomal RNA is filed under the name uncultured fungus. RNAcentral's name for it is "eukaryotic LSU rRNA". It matches the Rfam family "Eukaryotic large subunit ribosomal RNA", at positions 24 to 664 of the family's 3401-position model. The record is from RNAcentral. Lineage: Eukaryota; Fungi.